This 353-nucleotide ribosomal RNA is filed under the name uncultured bacterium. RNAcentral's name for it is "bacterial SSU rRNA". It matches the Rfam family "Bacterial small subunit ribosomal RNA", at positions 8 to 350 of the family's 1533-position model. The record is from RNAcentral.
AGAGUUUGAUCAUGGCUCAGGAUGAACGCUAGCUACAGGCUUAACACAUGCAAAUCGAGGGGAAACGACAUCGAAAGCUUGCUUUUGAUGGGCGUCGACCGGCGCACGGAUGAGUAACGCGUAUCCAACCUGCCCACCACUUGGGGAUAACCUUGCGAAAGUAAGACUAAUACCCAAUGACGUCUCUAGAAGACAUCUGAAGGAGAUUAAAGAUUUAUCGGUGAUGGAUGGGGAUGCGUCUGAUUAGCGUUGUUGGCGGGGUAACGGCCACCAAGGCGACGAUCAGUAGGGGUUCUGAGAGGAAGGUCCCCCANAUUGGAACUGAGACACGGUCCAAACUCCUACGGGAGGCA